UUGUUUGAGAUCUGCGACAU
This 20-nucleotide small nuclear RNA is filed under the name Arabidopsis thaliana (thale cress). RNAcentral's name for it is "snRNA_09433". The record is from RNAcentral. Lineage: Eukaryota; Viridiplantae; Streptophyta; Magnoliopsida; Brassicales; Brassicaceae.